CCAGACUCCUACGGGAGGCAGCAGUGAGGAAUAUUGGUCAAUGGACGAGAGUCUGAACCAGCCAAGUAGCGUGAAGGAUGACUGCCCUAUGGGUUGUAAACUUCUUUUAUAUGGGAAUAAAACGUUCCACGUGUGGGAUUUUGUAUGUACCAUAUGAAUAAGGAUCGGCUAACUCCGUGCCAGCAGCCGCGGUAAUACGGGGGAUGCGAGCGUUAUCCGGAUUUAUUGGGUUUAAAGGGUGCGUAGGCGGCGCUUCAGGUCAGCGGUGAAAUACCGGGGCUCAACCCCGGGGCUGCCGUUGAAACCGGAGCGCUAGAAUUCCGAUGCCGUCGGAGGAAUGUGUGGUGUAGCGGUGAAAUGCAUAGAUAUCACGCAGAACUCCGAUUGCGAAGGCAGCAUACCGGCGCUCAACUGACGCUCAUGCACGAAAGCGUGGGUAUCGAACAGGAUUAGAUACCCGCGUA
RNAcentral lists this ribosomal RNA (464 nucleotides) under uncultured bacterium. Its description in RNAcentral is "bacterial SSU rRNA". It matches the Rfam family "Bacterial small subunit ribosomal RNA", at positions 331 to 792 of the family's 1533-position model. The record is from RNAcentral.